RNAcentral lists this small nuclear RNA (18 nucleotides) under Arabidopsis thaliana (thale cress). RNAcentral describes it as "snRNA_10828". Lineage: Eukaryota; Viridiplantae; Streptophyta; Magnoliopsida; Brassicales; Brassicaceae. The record is from RNAcentral.
UCGUCUGACUUGGGUAUA